CCAUUGUGGAACAUGUGUGAAACCUGAUGGCUGACCUUGCAUGUGAGAAUCUCCUUGUUGUGCCAUGAAUGAAGGUGGUGGAUGACCUUGCCUUUGCAGUGAUCCUUGUCCAGCCAUGAAAGAGUGUGGUGGAGCUCCUUGUUGUGGCACAAAAGAAGGUGGUGAGGACUGCUGCACGUUUCUUGCAAAAGCUGAUGGCUGAUCUUGCAUCUGCUGUGAUCUUUGUCCAUCCAUGAAGGACGGUGGUGAAGCUCCUUGUUGACCUUGCAUCUGCUGUGAUCUUUGUCCAUUCAUGAAAGACGGUGGUGAAGCUCCUUGUUGAGUGAAAGAAGGUGAUGGUGCCUGAUGCGGAUUUUGUGCAAAAGGUGAAGGCUGACCUUGCAUUUGAUGUGAUCCUUGUCCAGAAACAAAAGAGGGUGGUGAAGUUUGUUGCCACCUUGGAUUAGGCACUGACUGCUGGCCUUGCAUUUGUGAUGAUCCUUGUCCUCCCAUGAAAGAAGGUGGUGAAGCUUGUUGCCAGCUAGGAUUAGGCACUGACUGCUGGCCUUGCAUUUGUGAUGAUCCUUGUCCUCCCAUGAACGAAGGUGGUGAAGCUUGUUGCCAGCUAGGAUUAGGCACUGACUGCUGGCCUUGCAUUUGUGAUGAUCCUUGUCCUCCCAUGAAAGAAGGCGAUGAAGAUUGUUGCGACAUGGAGCUAGGAGCAUAUGCUGCACUUUGCAUUUGUGGUGAUCCUUGUCCUCCCAUGAAAGAGGGAGGUGAAUUUUGCUGCCACAAUGAGUUACGAGCUGAAGGCUGACUUUGCACUUGUGCUGAUCCUUGUCCCCCGAAAAAAGAAGGUGGUGACGUCUGCUGGGCUGCAUAAAGACAUACAAGAAUUGACAGGUAGCAAAUGAUCAGCGCAGCAACUUUUGGGUAUAGAUAAUGACACUAGUGCCGUACAAUGAUGUGGGCUAAAUGUAGAUAAUGACACUAGUGCCGUACAAUGAUGUGGGCUAAAUUUUUCUCAACGUUCCUGCUUGGCAGAAGAAGGUUCUUUUAUCUUUUAAAAAAAUAUGAAAUUUGCCAAAAGUUGCACAAAAAUUUAAAAAUAAAGUAAAGAAUUAUAUAAAAUCAGCAAUUACUGAAAAAAGAAGAAGAUAGAAGUUAGGGAAUAUGCAAACUAGUAGAGUACCUGGAACCUGCGAAGUUACUGCUGAUUGUCUAGGUAUUUGUGAAAGCCAUGGAACUUGUCCUCGAGGUGGCCCUGAUGAUCUAGAAGAUGGGAAGUACGUCGGUUUUGUAGCAAAAACUCUUUCAAUCUCCUCACGACGACCUUGGUUACCAUAAGCAUCUAACAGGAACUCCCUGAGGGCACUGGUGAGACCAACACCAUAGUUUAUCAUCUGACUUACUAAAUUGGAACUCGCAUCAUAAUUACCUUCCCCACAGAGUGCCCUAAUCACAAUAUCAUAAGUUGUGACAUCAGGCUUUGGUUCUCUCUCACCCAUCUUGGUCAGAAUAGGGACGCACUCCGCCACCUUGCCUUUCUCAAUCAAGAAAUUAAACCAUUUUUCAGCAUAGAUUGGAAUGACUCUCAGCCCUGCUUCCACCAUCUUCGUGUAUUUCUCCAACGUGCCCUCAACAUUCUCCAUCUUCACAUAUGCCUCAAUCAUUGUCCUAUAAGUUGUGACAUCUGGGCUCAAUGACUUGUUACACAACUCCAUAUAAUAUUUUUCUGCUUCCUCCAUCAUUUCUAGGUCAGAAAGUCUCGUUAUCAUAUUAUUGUAACCCGCAACGUCCAUUGCAAAAGGUCUGGUCUUGAGACCCUUCCCCACCUUCUUGAAGGUCUCCAAGGCCUCUGAAACCUUCCCUAACCUAAAACACUCAUUCACCAUUAAAUUAAAAGUGUCUGAAUUCACAGCCUGGAACGUUGGUGGUGUGUGAUCAUCCAACAUGGCAUCAAACAAAGUCCACGCCUCCGUUUCCCUCCCAUGCCUCAACAACACCUCCAAUAGCACAUUACAAGUCGCAGGAACCAUCCUAUACUUUUUAUCAAGAAGGGAUCGAUACGAUUCCAUCGCCUCUUUUACCUUCCCCUGCUUGAAAAACCAGUCCAUAAAAGUAGCAUUCACCACCCCAUCAUAAACAGUACACCUCUCUUUCAACUCGUCAAACAGCUCAUUAGCUUUCUCUAAAUUAUCCAAAUUCAGGAACCCUAAUAUUAAAUUGUUAUAAACUAGAGAAUCUGCACCGUGUCCUUUAUUAAGCAUUUCCCUAAGCAAAUCUACAGCUUCAGCUAUACGGUCCGAAUCAAUUAAUCCUUUAGUAAGAUGACGAUAUGUCACAGCAGAUGGACUAAAAGGUGCAUUUUCAAGAAUAUGACUGUAUACUUUUAAGCCUUCAUCAACUUCACCAGCUUCACAAUGUGACACAAUGAGAUGAUUGUACGAAACAACGUUAGGAAUAAUAUUAUACUGAUUGAAAAAGUACUGAAACAAAGCCUUAGCAUCACUGUAUCGGCCGGCGCGAUACAUAGCACCGAUGAUAGCAUUACACGUGAAUACAGUCGGCCGUGUAUUUGAGAAAACGGCGUGACGAGCAACAGCGGCUGCGGAUUCCAAAUCCCCGGCGCGGAUGAGAGACUGAACACGAUUGUGAAGGUUAAGCCGGUGGCCGGUCAAUGCUGACGUGGUAUCAGGGAGACGGGAACGAGGGUCGUCGGGUGAAGGCGGUCCCCUCGGGAGUGGAUCACGACGGAGGGCGUUGAUUGGCGGUUCAAUACGGAGGCGGCGCUUGCGACGGCGG
This 2784-nucleotide long non-coding RNA is filed under the name Nicotiana tabacum (common tobacco). RNAcentral's name for it is "long non-coding RNA (NTAB_LNC006617)". Lineage: Eukaryota; Viridiplantae; Streptophyta; Magnoliopsida; Solanales; Solanaceae. The record is from RNAcentral.